CAGAGGAGGAGAUGAAGAGGGAACCUUGCUAAAGCUCCGUUCUUUUGGGCUCUUUGUAGGACUCCCUCUCCCUCCUCCUCUAUC
Molecule: microRNA precursor, 84 nt
Filed under: Carica papaya (papaya)
Lineage: Eukaryota; Viridiplantae; Streptophyta; Magnoliopsida; Brassicales; Caricaceae
Description: miR8154 stem-loop (cpa-MIR8154)
Source: miRBase by way of RNAcentral